Molecule: ribosomal RNA, 108 nt
Filed under: Tumebacillus amylolyticus
Lineage: Bacteria; Bacillati; Bacillota; Bacilli; Caryophanales; Alicyclobacillaceae
Description: partial 23S ribosomal RNA
Rfam family: Bacterial large subunit ribosomal RNA
Source: RNAcentral
CGGUCAACGUGGUAAGACCCCCUGUAGACGACAGGGUUGAUAGGCUGGAGGUGUACGUGCCGCGAGGCAUUCAGCUGACCAGUACUAAUCGGUCGAGGGCUUAUCCUA